RNAcentral lists this ribosomal RNA (253 nucleotides) under uncultured bacterium. Its description in RNAcentral is "partial 16S ribosomal RNA". It matches the Rfam family "Bacterial small subunit ribosomal RNA", at positions 524 to 776 of the family's 1533-position model. The record is from RNAcentral.
UACGGAGGAUGCGAGCGUUAUCCGGAUUUAUUGGGUUUAAAGGGUGCGCAGGCGGAUUUUUAAGUCAGCGGUCAAAUCGUGGGGCUCAACCCCAUCCAGCCGUUGAAACUGGGGAUCUAGAGUGUGCGAGAGGUAUGCGGAAUGCGUGGUGUAGCGGUGAAAUGCAUAGAUAUCACGCAGAACCCCGAUUGCGAAGGCAGCAUACCGGUGCACAACUGACGCUCAGGCACGAAAAGCGUGGGUAUCGAACAGG